This 403-nucleotide ribosomal RNA is filed under the name uncultured bacterium. RNAcentral's name for it is "bacterial SSU rRNA". It matches the Rfam family "Bacterial small subunit ribosomal RNA", at positions 28 to 424 of the family's 1533-position model. The record is from RNAcentral.
GAUGAACGCUAGCGGCAGGCUUAAUACAUGCAAGUCGAGGGGCAGCAGGGGUGUAGCAAUACACUCGCUGGCGACCGGCAAACGGGUGCGGAGCACGUACGCAACCUACCCAUAACUGAGGAAUAGCCCGGGGAAACCCGGAUUAAUACUUCGUAACAUAAUGAUGUGGCAUCACAUUAUUAUUAUAGCUCCGGCGGUUUUGGAUGGGCGUGCGCCUGAUAGGUAGUUGGCGGGGUAACGGCCCACCAAGCCUACGAUCAGUAACUGGUGUGAGAGCACGACCAGUCACACGGGCACUGAGACACGGGCCCGACUCCUACGGGAGGCAGCAGUAAGGAAUAUUGGUCAAUGGACGCAAGUCUGAACCAGCCAUGCCGCGUGAAGGAUGAAGGUCCUCUGGAUU